AGAUUGAACGCUAGCGGGAUGCUUUACACAUGCAAGUCGAACGGCAGCGCGGACUUCGGUCUGGCGGCGAGUGGCGAACGGGUGAGUAAUAUAUCGGAACGUGCCCAGUAGCCGGGGGAAUAACUACGCGAAAGCGUGGCUAAUACCGCAUACG
RNAcentral lists this ribosomal RNA (154 nucleotides) under uncultured soil bacterium. RNAcentral describes it as "partial 16S ribosomal RNA". It matches the Rfam family "Bacterial small subunit ribosomal RNA", at positions 26 to 177 of the family's 1533-position model. The record is from RNAcentral.